AUUGAACGCUGGCGGAAUGCUUUACACAUGCAAGUCGAGCGGCAGCGCGGGGCAACCUGGCGGCGAGCGGCGAACGGGUGAGUAAUACAUCGGAACGUACCCAGUUGUGGGGGAUAGCCCGGCGAAAGCCGGAUUAAUACCGCAUACGACCUGAGGGUGAAAGGGGGGGAUCGCAAGACCUCUCGCAGUUGGAGCGGCCGCUGGCGGAUUAGAUAGUUGGUGAGGUAAAGGCUCACCAAGGCGACGAUCCGUAGCGGGUCUGAGAGGACGACCCGCCACACUGGAACUGAGACACGGUCCAGACUCCGACGGGAGGCAGCAGUGGGGAAUUUUGGACAAUGGGGGCAACCCUGAUCCAGCCAUUCCGCGUGAGUGAAGAAGGCCUUCGGGUUGUAAAGCUCUUUCGGCAGGAACGAAACGGUGGAAGCUAAUAUCUUUUACUAAUGACGGUACCUGAAGAAGAAGCACCGGCUAACUACGUGCCAGCAGCCGCCGUAA
RNAcentral lists this ribosomal RNA (498 nucleotides) under uncultured bacterium. RNAcentral's name for it is "partial 16S ribosomal RNA". It matches the Rfam family "Bacterial small subunit ribosomal RNA", at positions 29 to 523 of the family's 1533-position model. The record is from RNAcentral.